RNAcentral lists this ribosomal RNA (1305 nucleotides) under Cronobacter sakazakii. RNAcentral's name for it is "bacterial LSU rRNA". It matches the Rfam family "Bacterial large subunit ribosomal RNA", at positions 1640 to 2925 of the family's 2925-position model. Lineage: Bacteria; Pseudomonadati; Pseudomonadota; Gammaproteobacteria; Enterobacterales; Enterobacteriaceae. The record is from RNAcentral.
AAUCGUACCCCAAACCGACACAGGUGGUCAGGUAGAGAAUACCAAGGCGCUUGAGAGAACUCGGGUGAAGGAACUAGGCAAAAUGGUGCCGUAACUUCGGGAGAAGGCACGCUGACAUGUAGGUGAAGCCCCUGCGGGUGGAGCUGAAGUCAGUCGAAGAUACCAGCUGGCUGCAACUGUUUAUUAAAAACACAGCACUGUGCAAACACGAAAGUGGACGUAUACGGUGUGACGCCUGCCCGGUGCCGGAAGGUUAAUUGAUGGGGUUAUCGCAAGAGAAGCUCCUGAUCGAAGCCCCGGUAAACGGCGGCCGUAACUAUAACGGUCCUAAGGUAGCGAAAUUCCUUGUCGGGUAAGUUCCGACCUGCACGAAUGGCGUAAUGAUGGCCAGGCUGUCUCCACCCGAGACUCAGUGAAAUUGAACUCGCUGUGAAGAUGCAGUGUACCCGCGGCAAGACGGAAAGACCCCGUGAACCUUUACUACAGCUUGACACUGAACAUUGAGCCUUGAUGUGUAGGAUAGGUGGGAGGCUUUGAAGCGUGGACGCCAGUCUGCGUGGAGCCGACCUUGAAAUACCACCCUUUAAUGUUUGAUGUUCUAACCUGGCGCCGUGAUCCGGCGUGGGGACAGUGUCUGGUGGGUAGUUUGACUGGGGCGGUCUCCUCCCAAAGUGUAACGGAGGAGCACGAAGGUCAGCUAAUCCUGGUCGGACAUCAGGAGGUUAGUGCAAUGGCAUAAGCUGGCUUGACUGCGAGAGUGACGGCUCGAGCAGGUGCGAAAGCAGGUCAUAGUGAUCCGGUGGUUCUGUAUGGAAGGGCCAUCGCUCAACGGAUAAAAGGUACUCCGGGGAUAACAGGCUGAUACCGCCCAAGAGUUCAUAUCGACGGCGGUGUUUGGCACCUCGAUGUCGGCUCAUCACAUCCUGGGGCUGAAGUAGGUCCCAAGGGUAUGGCUGUUCGCCAUUUAAAGUGGUACGCGAGCUGGGUUUAGAACGUCGUGAGACAGUUCGGUCCCUAUCUGCCGUGGGCGCUGGAGAAUUGAGGGGGGCUGCUCCCAGUACGAGAGGACCGGAGUGGACGCAUCACUGGUGUUCGGGUUGUCAUGCCAAUGGCACUGCCCGGUAGCUAAAUGCGGAAGAGAUAAGUGCUGAAAGCAUCUAAGCACGAAACUUGCCCCGAGAUGAGUUCUCCCUGAGACUAUAAGUCUCCUGAAGGAACGUUGAAGACGACGACGUUGAUAGGCCGGGUGUGUAAGCGCAGCGAUGCGUUGAGCUAACCGGUACUAAUGAACCGUGAGGCUUAACC